This 253-nucleotide ribosomal RNA is filed under the name uncultured bacterium. Its description in RNAcentral is "partial 16S ribosomal RNA". It matches the Rfam family "Bacterial small subunit ribosomal RNA", at positions 524 to 776 of the family's 1533-position model. The record is from RNAcentral.
UACAGAGGUCUCAAGCGUUGUUCGGAUUCAUUGGGCGUAAAGGGUGCGUAGGCGGCGCGGUAAGUCGGGUGUGAAAUCUCGGAGCUUAACUCCGAAACUGCAUUCGAUACUGCCGUGCUUGAGGACUGGAGAGGAGACUGGAAUUUACGGUGUAGCGGUGAAAUGCGUAGAUAUCGUAAGGAAGACCAGUGGCGAAGGCGGGUCUCUGGACGGUUCCUGACGCUGAGGCACGAAGGUCAGGGGAGCAAACGGG